GGACACUUUGAACUCAACCUCAUCGAUCAACCUUUAAACUCAAAUACUAGUCCUUAACUCAAUACAUGCUUCUACUUCACUUUUUCCAUCGACCUCAACCUGUAAUCUGUCGCUGUUGGUAAACAGGAAAUACUUCACAUCUUACACGCACUCUCCCUAAGAAACCCAGUGAUGUGGAAGUCUUGUUAGGUGAUGUCCAGUUAUCAGUUUCAGGCAGUGCCGGGUUCAAAGGAUGCGACUCAAACCCCAAGAAG
Molecule: long non-coding RNA, 254 nt
Organism: Carassius auratus (goldfish)
Lineage: Eukaryota; Metazoa; Chordata; Actinopteri; Cypriniformes; Cyprinidae
Exons: 3
Source: RefSeq, a predicted model, not a curated record